UAAAAUAAUUAAGUAUAUUAAAAUUAUACUAUUACUUAAUAAUAUAUAAUAAUUAAUUAAAUUUUUAAAAAUUUUUAAAUUUAAUUUUAU
RNAcentral lists this transfer RNA (90 nucleotides) under Apis andreniformis. RNAcentral describes it as "partial tRNA-Ile". The record is from RNAcentral. Lineage: Eukaryota; Metazoa; Arthropoda; Insecta; Hymenoptera; Apidae.